GAUGAACGCUGGCGGCGUGCCUAAUACAUGCAAGUCGAACGCGACACCUUCGGGUGUUGAGUGGCGAACGGGUGAGUAACACGUAGGUAACAUGACCAUAUGACGAGGAUAACGGUUGGAAACGACUGCUAAGACUGGAUAGGAACAUUGAAGGCAUCUUUGAUGUUUUAAAGGACUCUUGAGUACACGUAUGGGGUGACCUGCGGCGCAUUAGCUAGUUGGUGGGGUAGUAGCCUACCAAGGCGAUGAUGCGUAGCCGGACUGAGAGGUUGACCGGCCACAUUGGGACUGAGACACGGCCCAG
RNAcentral lists this ribosomal RNA (304 nucleotides) under uncultured bacterium. Its description in RNAcentral is "bacterial SSU rRNA". It matches the Rfam family "Bacterial small subunit ribosomal RNA", at positions 28 to 334 of the family's 1533-position model. The record is from RNAcentral.